RNAcentral lists this ribosomal RNA (465 nucleotides) under Vreelandella stevensii. RNAcentral describes it as "partial 16S ribosomal RNA". It matches the Rfam family "Bacterial small subunit ribosomal RNA", at positions 338 to 795 of the family's 1533-position model. The record is from RNAcentral. Lineage: Bacteria; Pseudomonadati; Pseudomonadota; Gammaproteobacteria; Oceanospirillales; Halomonadaceae.
CCUACGGGGGGCAGCAGUGGGGAAUAUUGGACAAUGGGGGGAACCCUGAUCCAGCCAUGCCGCGUGUGUGAAGAAGGCCCUCGGGUUGUAAAGCACUUUCAGUGAGGAAGAACGCCUGGUGGUUAAUACCCAUCAGGAAAGACAUCACUCUCAGAAGAAGCACCGGCUAACUCCGUGCCAGCAGCCGCGGUAAUACGGAGGGUGCGAGCGUUAAUCGGAAUUACUGGGCGUAAAGCGCGCGUAGGUGGCUUGAUAAGCCGGUUGUGAAAGCCCCGGGCUCAACCUGGGAACGGCAUCCGGAACUGUCAAGCUAGAGUGCAGGAGAGGAAGGUAGAAUUCCCGGUGUAGCGGUGAAAUGCGUAGAGAUCGGGAGGAAUACCAGUGGCGAAGGCGGCCUUCUGGACUGACACUGACACUGAGGUGCGAAAGCGUGGGUAGCAAACAGGAUUAGAUACCCCAGUAGUC